CCUACGGGGGGCAGCAGUAGGGAAUAUUGCUCAAUGGGGGAAACCCUGAACCAGCAACGCCGCGUGGAGGAUGACGGUUUUCGGAUUGUAAACCUCUUUUCUUAGAGAAGAUAAUGACGGUAUCUAACGAAUAAGCACCGGCUAACUCCGUGCCAGCAGCCGCGGUAAUACGGAGGGUGCAAGCGUUACUCGGAAUCACUGGGCGUAAAGGGCGCGUAGGCGGGUUAGCAAGUCAGAUGUGAAAUCCUAUGGCUUAACCAUAGAACUGCAUUUGAAACUGUUAUUCUAGAGUAUGGGAGAGGUAGGUGGAAUUCUUGGUGUAGGGGUGAAAUCCGUAGAGAUCAAGAGGAAUACUCAUUGCGAAGGCGACCUGCUAGAACAUAACUGACGCUGAUGCGCGAAAGCGUGGGGAGCAAACAGGAUUAGAUACCCUAGUAGUC
This 440-nucleotide ribosomal RNA is filed under the name uncultured bacterium. Its description in RNAcentral is "partial 16S ribosomal RNA". It matches the Rfam family "Bacterial small subunit ribosomal RNA", at positions 338 to 795 of the family's 1533-position model. The record is from RNAcentral.